GUGCUCGCUUCGGCAGCACAUAGAUUAAAUUGAGACAAUACAGAGAACAUUAGCAUGGGCCCUG
This 64-nucleotide small nuclear RNA is filed under the name Dipodomys ordii (Ord's kangaroo rat). The record is from RNAcentral. Lineage: Eukaryota; Metazoa; Chordata; Mammalia; Rodentia; Heteromyidae.